GUGGGGAAUUGUUCGCAAUGGGCGCAAGCCUGACGACGCAACGCCGCGUGGAGGAUGAAGAUUUUCGGAUCGUAAACUCCUGUCGAAUGGGACGAAUGGCCUGGCCGUGAACAACGGCCGGGAAUGACGGUACCGUGAGAGGAAGCCCCGGCUAACUCCGUGCCAGCAGCCGCGGUAAUACGGGGGGGGCAAGCGUUGUUCGGAAUUACUGGGCGUAAAGGGCUCGUAGGUGGCCACCUAAGUCCGACGUGAAAUCCCUCGGCUCAACCGGGGAACUGCGUCGGAUACUGGGUGGCUUGAAUCCGGGAGAGGGACGUGGAAUUCCAGGUGUAGCGGUGAAAUGCGUAGAUAUCUGGAGGAACACCGGUGGCGAAGGCGGCGUCCUGGACCGGUAUUGACACUGAGGAGCGAAAGCCAGGGGAGCAAACGGGAUUAGAUACCCCAGUAGUCC
This 451-nucleotide ribosomal RNA is filed under the name uncultured bacterium. Its description in RNAcentral is "bacterial SSU rRNA". It matches the Rfam family "Bacterial small subunit ribosomal RNA", at positions 354 to 796 of the family's 1533-position model. The record is from RNAcentral.